AGCCUGAACAGACCAAUCCAAUGC
RNAcentral lists this non-coding RNA (24 nucleotides) under Arabidopsis thaliana (thale cress). Lineage: Eukaryota; Viridiplantae; Streptophyta; Magnoliopsida; Brassicales; Brassicaceae. The record is from RNAcentral.